This 643-nucleotide ribosomal RNA is filed under the name Staphylococcus aureus. Its description in RNAcentral is "partial 23S ribosomal RNA". It matches the Rfam family "Bacterial large subunit ribosomal RNA", at positions 1333 to 1971 of the family's 2925-position model. Lineage: Bacteria; Bacillati; Bacillota; Bacilli; Caryophanales; Staphylococcaceae. The record is from RNAcentral.
UCCACCGAUUGACUAAGGUUUCCAGAGGAAGGCUCGUCCGCUCUGGGUUAGUCGGGUCCUAAGCUGAGGCCGACAGGCGUAGGCGAUGGAUAACAGGUUGAUAUUCCUGUACCACCUAUAAUCGUUUUAAUCGAUGGGGGGACGCAGUAGGAUAGGCGAAGCGUGCGAUUGGAUUGCACGUCUAAGCAGUAAGGCUGAGUAUUAGGCAAAUCCGGUACUCGUUAAGGCUGAGCUGUGAUGGGGAGAAGACAUUGUGUCUUCGAGUCGUUGAUUUCACACUGCCGAGAAAAGCCUCUAGAUAGAAAAUAGGUGCCCGUACCGCAAACCGACACAGGUAGUCAAGAUGAGAAUUCUAAGGUGAGCGAGCGAACUCUCGUUAAGGAACUCGGCAAAAUGACCCCGUAACUUCGGGAGAAGGGGUGCUCUUUAGGGUUAACGCCCAGAAGAGCCGCAGUGAAUAGGCCCAAGCGACUGUUUAUCAAAAACACAGGUCUCUGCUAAACCGUAAGGUGAUGUAUAGGGGCUGACGCCUGCCCGGUGCUGGAAGGUUAAGAGGAGUGGUUAGCUUCUGCGAAGCUACGAAUCGAAGCCCCAGUAAACGGCGGCCGUAACUAUAACGGUCCUAAGGUAGCGAAAUUCCUUG